This 467-nucleotide ribosomal RNA is filed under the name uncultured bacterium. RNAcentral describes it as "bacterial SSU rRNA". It matches the Rfam family "Bacterial small subunit ribosomal RNA", at positions 29 to 507 of the family's 1533-position model. The record is from RNAcentral.
AAUGAACGUUGGCGGCAUGGAUUAGGCAUGCAAGUCGAGCGAGAAGUGUAGCAAUAACACGGAAAGCGGCGGAAGGGAGAGUAAUACGUGGGAAUCUGCCCUUAGACCUGGGAUAGCAGCGGGAAACUGCUGGUAAUACCAGAUAAUGUCUAUGGACCAAAGGUGUGAUUCCGUCUAGGGAUGAGCCCACGUCCUAUUAGCUAGUUGGUAGGGUAAUGGCCUACCAAGGCGAUGAUGGGUAGCGGGUGUGAGAGCAUGACCCGCCUCACUGGGACUGAGACACUGCCCAGACACCUACGGGUGGCUGCAGUCGAGAAUCUUCGGCAAUGGGCGCAAGCCUGACCGAGCGAUGCCGCGUGCGGGAUGAAGGCCUUCGGGUUGUAAACCGCUGUCGAGGGGGAGCAACUUCCAUAGAGUUAUCUUUAUGGAUUGAGUGAUCCCUGGAGGAAGGACGGGCUAAGUUCGUG